RNAcentral lists this ribosomal RNA (617 nucleotides) under uncultured bacterium. Its description in RNAcentral is "partial 16S ribosomal RNA". The stretch from base 1 to 519 matches the Rfam family "Bacterial small subunit ribosomal RNA", at positions 338 to 873 of the family's 1533-position model. The record is from RNAcentral.
CCUACGGGAGGCAGCAGUGGGGAAUAUUGGACAAUGGGCGAAAGCCUGAUCCAGCAAUGCCGCGUGAGUGAUGAAGGCCUUAGGGUUGUAAAGCUCUUUUACCAGGGAUGAUAAUGACAGUACCUGGAGAAUAAGCUCCGGCUAACUCCGUGCCAGCAGCCGCGGUAAUACGGAGGGAGCUAGCGUUGUUCGGAAUUACUGGGCGUAAAGCGUACGUAGGCGGUUAUUCAAGUCAGAGGUGAAAGCCUGGAGCUCAACUCCAGAACUGCCUUUGAAACUAGAUAGCUAGAAUCUUGGAGAGGUGAGUGGAAUUCCGAGUGUAGAGGUGAAAUUCGUAGAUAUUCGGAAGAACACCAGUGGCGAAGGCGACUCACUGGACAAGUAUUGACGCUGAGGUACGAAAGCGUGGGGAGCAAACAGGAUUAGAUACCCUGGUAGUCCACGCCGUAAACGAUGAUAACUAGCUGUUCGGGCUCUACGAGCUUGAGUGGCGCNGCUACGACAUUAAGUUAGUCCGUCCGUCGGGUAGGUACGGUCGCGAGAAGUUAAACGUUAAAGUUAGUUAAGUUAGUACGGUUCGUUGAGACGUUGCCGACGGACGACGACGAGGGAGGAGG